This is an RNA transcript of Alligator mississippiensis (American alligator), 12356 nucleotides long. It is a transcript of the gene named probable DNA double-strand break repair Rad50 ATPase, with no coding region annotated. The transcript has 11 exons. The record is from RefSeq and is a predicted model, not a curated record. Lineage: Eukaryota; Metazoa; Chordata; Crocodylia; Alligatoridae.
CUUUCAAAAAUGUCUUUUAAUAAAUUGAGUAACUGUGGCAUUGAUGCCUACACAGUUGGAUGGGUUAGAAAUUGGCUGAUGGGGCGCACCCAGAGAGUGGUGGUGGAUGGGUUGUACUCGACCUGGUGGGAUGUAAAUAGUGGGGUCCCCCAGGGCUCGGUCCUGGGGCCUACACUGUUCAACAUCUUUAUCAGCGACUUGAACGAGGGGGUGGAAAACACAUUGUCCAAGUUUGCCGAUGACACCAAGAUAUGGGGAGAGGCAGGCACACUCAAAGGGAGAGAGAGGUUGCAAUUAGAUUUAGAUAGACUACAGAAGUGGGCGGAUGGUAAUAGGAUGUGCUUCAAUGUGGAUAAGUGCAGGGUGCUGCACCUGGGGAGAAGGAAUCCACAGCAUACAUACAAGCUGGGGAGUUCCCUCCUUGUGAGCACAGAGGCAGAAAGGGAUCUUGGCAUCAUUAUUGACUCCAAGAUGAACAUGAGCUGCCAAUGCCAGGCCACAGCCAGCAAAGCCAACCGCACCUUAUCGUGCAUCCAAAGAUGCAUCUCAAGCCAAUCCAGAGAGGUGAUACUCCCCGUCUACGCAACAUUGGUCCGGCCUCAAUUGGAGUACUGCGUCCAGUUCUGGGAACCACACUUUAAGAAGGAUGUGGCCUGCCUUGAGAGGUUUCAGAGGAGGGCCACCCGCUUGGUUGGAGGGCAACAGGGCAGGCUCUAUGAGGAGAGGCUGAGGGACCUGAACCUUUUCAGCCUCAGCAAAUGGAGGCUGAGGGGGGAUUUGGUGGCUGCCUACAAACUUGUCAGGAGAGAUCAGCAGCAAAUAGGAAGGGUCUUAUUCCCCCCAGCAGCAGCUGGGGUAACGAGGAACAAUGUCCAGAAGCUGCUGGAGAAUAGGUUCAGGUUAGAGAUUAGGAGGCACUAUUUCACUGUUAGGGUGGCUAGGAUCUGGAACCAACUUCCUAAGGAAGUGGUCCUCACUCCUACCUUGGGUAAAUUCAAAAAGAGGUUGGAUGAGCACCUGUCUGGGGUCGUGUGAUACCAGCAUGUGCUCUGGCCAGUGGCAGGGGGUCAGACUAGAUGAUCUAUUUAGGUCCCUUCUGACCCCUAACUACUAUGAAACUAUGAAAAACAAGGUGCAUAUUUUAUGUUGAGGUGUGUUGCAUGAGAAACAUGGUAUGUUCUUGUUAUUGCUCUUCCUUUUCUCCUUGUUUUUGUUCUUCUCCUUGUUCUCCUUAUUCUUGUUCUUGUGUGACAGGCUAGCUGGCAAUGACAGCCCAGGGGCUUUAAAGGGGCAAAAGUUGAUUGGAGGACUUGGGAUUCCCUUUCCUCACCAAUCAGGCCCCAGAGACUGACCCUCCAUGUCGCCUGAUUGGCCCCUUGGGUCACCUGGAGGGGGAUGAAAGGGGAAGCACGGCUGACUCAGGGGAGACCAGUGAGGGACCACAAGGAAGGAGCUUCAAAGAGCUGGCAAGAGCUAGGCCAGCAGGGUGGAAGCAGUUGCCCCAGAAGACCCUGAAGGAGUGGGACCUGCAGGCAGCAGUUGGACCCUCAGCAGCACAGCGUGUGGCUGGCAGGAGAGGCUUCCCGCUGGGCUCCAGGAUCCCUUAUGGGAGGCUGUGGCCAGCAGGAGAGGCUCCCCAGCUCCAGCAAGGAUUUGAGCAGUGACCUGAGAAGUUCCCAGCUCUGCUUCCAGCUCCUCCAAUAAGAGGCCAGGAAGCUUGACAUGAAGCUGGGGCUCCUGGAAGGUCAAGACCCCUUGCAGCUUAAAGCAGUGCUAGCACUGGUGGUUGUAUGGUAUUGUUUCUGCCUACCAUGUAGGAGAUCUGAGGUCAAGUCCCAGCUGGGGUGACUUGGUGUGAGUGAAGUAACAGGGAGAAAUCCUUGUUGCAGUGGAAAGGGGCCAUUGUGUUUUCCCUCUUUCCCCACCUCCAGGUACCUAGGCCCUAUAUUCUUUGUUGUUUGACAUUUUGUAUUUUAUUCCUUUUCACCAACCUGUAUUGUUUGUUGUGCUGUUUGUGUUUUAUAUUUUGUUAACCCUGUCUUUUGUCAAUGAUUGUAAGUGUCUAACCUGUGUUGAGUCCUGCCCCCUUGGGGCAUUGUAGUGUUCCCUAUACCCCCUGGUUUAUGCUUGUUAUGUUCCCAGUACUGUUCAUUCAUUAAAAGGUAUAUGGUUAAGGCCCCAUUGAUGGUCUUGCUCUGCUCUAUAGGGAGAAGAGAGUCCCUACACCUCCCACAGCACUUGUGCACCUGCUUUGAUCCCUUCAAUUGGAGAGGGGGUACCUCUUGGAGUACCGCCUGGGUUACACUUGUUUGUCUUAUUCUUAUUUUUCUUCUUGUUCUUCUUUUUCUCUUUCUCCUUCUACUUGUUCUCCUCAUUCUUCUCCUUGUUCUUGUCCUUGUUGUCCUCAUUCUUCUCUUCCUCCUUCUCCAUGUUCUUUUCCUUGUUCUCCUUCUCCUUGUUCUCCUCAUUUUCCUUCUCCUUGUUCUUGUUAUCCAUGUUCUUGUUUUUCUUGUUCUCCUUGAUCUUCUCUUCAUUCUUCUCAUUCUCCUCUCCUCCUCCUUCUUCUUGGUGUCUUCUUUCUUCUUGUCCUUACCCUUCUGCAUUCCAUUCCAAACCAAAAUCAUGCCUUUCCCAUCCUUUUUGGGUCAUCACGGUGACAGCAUCCUUCCUAGGCUUUCCAAGUCAAGACACCUCUUAUAUUUGCAGGCCACCAUGGAGGCUGAGGACCUGCGCCUGGCCCUGGAGCGGCAGCGGGAUGAGAAUCAGGAGCUGGUGGAGACACUCCUGCAGCUGGAGAAGGAGCACGGGCAGCUCCAGAGGGACCAGAGCCAGCUCAAGGAGGAAGUGGCUAGGCUGCAGCACACCCAGACAAUGUCAGAGGAGCCUGAUGGGAUCCUGGAGGAGCUCAGUGCCCUUCAGACCAGCCUGGCUGAGAGGGAGCAGGAGAUCAAAGUCCUCAAGCAGCAGAGGCAGUGUCUCGAGGCUGAGAAGCAAGAGCUGAGAUGCUGCAUCCAGGAGCUGAUGACAGAGAACCUGGGUCUGACCAAAGGCAAUUUCCGGACCCACCAGCAGCUUUUGGAAGCGGAACGAGCCCUCAAGCAGCUGAAGGUCGACCUGCAACAAGCCAAGGAUGAAUGGGACAAGAGGGAGAAGGAACUGGAUAAGGAGCAGCACCGGUCAGCUGAACUGGAGGAGAUCCUUCGGGAGCAUGCAGAGAUCAAGGAGGUUCUGCAGGGCAAGAUCAACCAACUGCAGGAUGAACUGGAGGACUCUGAGCAGCAGAAGGCACUGAGAACAAGCUGGUAUCUAAGAGACGUGGCAUCACCUACUGGUUGUGGCUUGAUUACAUCAUAACACCAGUGGCUGCAGAGCUCCUGCAAAAGGCACAAUCCCCCGGGGUGCCGGGGUGAAGUGUUAAAAAAGCAGCAACACCAACCACACACGCAGUCCCUGCCACCCUGCUUGGUGCAAACAGGUGAGAGGCUGCUGCUGGGAGACGGGCCAAAUGGAGAACAAGGAUGAAGUAUGCAACAUGAUGGAGGACACGGAGUAUGAGGAGCAGGAAGAGGAGGAGGAAGAAGAGGACGCAUUGCUGGAAAUGCUGUUUUAGGGUAGAAUGCUGCAGGAAGUCUUCACCAGGAAUACUACACUACACUUUUCAGUAGCAAGUUGUGUGAUUCCGGCUUUAAAAGCACAAACUAGAAGAUACACAGUAUACACAGGGGAGCAAAGUGAACAAGUGGAAUCUGACUGGGCUCUGUUGAUAAACCUCAGGAGGACCAGCAGAAUCCACACGGUGUGGGCUCGUGAGAGCAGCUCUGACUGGUGGGAGCAAAUUGUCCUGAACACUUGAAACGACCAGCAGUGGUUGGAGCUGUUCUGAAUUAAAAGGGAGACUUUCUACCAUAUCGUCUCGAUGCUGGGCCCACACAUCAUGAGGCAGGACACAAACAUGUGUCGGGCCAUCCAGGGUUGCAAUGGCCAUCGUGAAGCGAGCCAGCCCAUCCAGCCUCCACUACAUUGCCAACCAGUUUGGCGUGGCUGCCUGCAUGGUGGGACAGGUGACUCAUGAGGUAUGCCAGCUGCUUAUGGACAUAGUUUCUAACAAAGUUAUCCUCAUGGCAAAUCCACAGCAAGUGAUGGAUGGCUUUAUUGAGAAGGCGUUCCCAAACUGCAUGGGGGAUUUACACAGCAUUCACAUCGCAGUGCUGUGCCCUGCGGUGAGUGGGAGGCUUUACAUUAACAGGAAAAGAUAUGCAUCCAUGAUCCUGCUAGCCUUGGUGGACCACUGGGGCUGGUUCAUGAACAUUUUUACAGGAGGGGGCUGGCAGCACUCAUGAUGCACGGGUGUUCCGAAACUCCCCUCUGGCUGACAUCGUGGAGAAACGAGGCUACGCACCCAGUGUGGAGGAGAGAGUGAUCUGAGGUGUCACUGUUCCCCUCAUCAUAUUAGCAGACACUGCCUACCCCCUAAAGCCCUGGCUUAUGACGCCUUAUAGAGGGAAUGUCACGAAAAUGCGGAAGCUGUUUUUUAACUACCACCUCAGCAGUUGCAGGAUGGCCGUGGAAUGUGCAUUUGGCUGACUGAAAGGACGAUGGAGGGCGCUUACGUGCCGGCUCAAAAUGGAGGAAGAAAAUCUAAUACCCUUUAUUGUGGCAGCCUGUGUGCUGCACGAUAUCUGAGAGAGCCAAGGAGGGGUUUUCAAGGACUCGUGGGAACAAGAAGCAUGCCAGGCGGUGGAAAGACAAGAGACAUGGAGUAGCAGCACAGGGACUGAGGAGAUAUCCUCAAGGAGAGGCUGGUUGGGUGGCCCUUGUGUGAGAUUUUCUUGUAUGACACAUUGCUGAGAACAACCGCUAGGGAGUGCUUUGUUUCAAAUUAAAUUAUUUUUUCUUUUACACUUUAAAAAUCGGUGUUUGUCUACAGUGGUUUGUGGGAGGAGGGAAUUAUGCACCGUCAUCCACAUCUGAAUGAGCCUAUUCCUCUUGGCGGGCUAGGUGGCAGGGGGAGGGGGGGCACGCCAAACAGCAAGCCACUGUUUGAAAAAACAUUCCAAAAACAUUCAUAAAACAAUUCACACUACACCACCAAAAGCCACAGUACUUGGGCAGGCAAUGGGAGGGUUCCAAUGGGAAACUGGUUUUGGGGAGGGGGACAUUACGCACCGUCACUCACAUCUGAAUGAGCACCCACCCCAUUCCUCUUGACGGGCUAGGCAGGGCGGAGUGGGGGGGAGAAAGAUGAACAGCAAACUGCUGUUUGAGAAAAACAUUCCAAAAACAUUUAUAAAAAAUAUUCACAACACAGCUACAAACAGCUGUAUGUGCACUACAGAAACAGAUGGUGCACCUGGCCCAGGAACUGGAAGCUUUUCCAUUGGAAACUGUAAAGAAGAUCAAUGAGGUCAGGAAUGCUGGGAAAUGUAUGCCAAAAAGAACCGGGGGAAAAAAGACAGAAGACCACCAACAUAUAUAUAGGCAGCAACUGCCUAUCAACUGGGCAGCAACAGACACCCACCCACCCACCCACUACUCUUAUGAUAGGCAGUUAUUAAGCUGCUAUAUUAAUGAAAAAUUCCAUGGUGGAAUGGAAAGGGAAAAGGAAAGGAACCAAAGGGAGGGAAGGAUUCACUCGUGCAGCUUGUCUUUUGGGACUGGGACGGGCUCCUUCUGAUUGUUUACUGAUGGAGAGAGAUACCAGACUGAAUGAGUAUAGGUGGGUGCAAGUGACAAGGAUUUUGGGGUGACCAUGACUGUGACCAGGGGAGACUGUCAGAGAGUCAGGACUGCCCAAUGACAGUCCAGACCCAGGGUGUGCCUCCUGGUGUAAUGCAUUAGGAUUUUAAACUUCAUUGCAGAACUACAAGGAAGUUUUUUUACCUCCCUGCCAGCCAGCCAUCUGACACCUCCAGGGAAGGAAUUUUACCUGAUCAACACAUCAAAGAUCUACUCAACACAGCUCACAAAGACACUCUCAUGGACCCAGAGGGACAGACUUCCAUUUUCAGCUCCCUCCGUACAAAAAUGAAGUUUAUUUCCUACCUAUGGGGACUUUUUACCAUCUUGUACCAUCUACAUUUUUCCCAGAGCCUGACAAAGGGACUUUGAUCCCGAAAGCUUGCAGAAAAGGACAAUUUUCUUGCCAUUUUCCAGUUGGUCUAAUAAAAGGUAUCAUUUUGGAACCAAGAGUUCUAGUUUUUUGAAUGCAUUAGGAAAGACAUUCUAGGGGGUAAAUUGGUAUUUGACUCCCUCUACUGAUAUCUACAGGGAAUGACACACAGGAGCUUAACUUGCUCGAAAGUGCCAUGCGUGCAAAAUGAAUGCUGUGUUGUGCAAACAGAACUGCACUACACCAAAAAAAAGCUACAUUUAAAUUCUGUGGCAGUCCAUAUUAAAUUCUGUGUCAUGUACAGACAGCCAAUGUUACCAGAUAACAUACAUAAAUUACUGGCACAAUGGCAAGGUCCCUUUCAGGUAACAAGGAAGGUGGGUCCAGUUAAUUAUGAAGUACUCAGGACCAGACUGGUCUGCAGGAAACAGAUUUAUCACAUUAACCUAUUAAAGAAGUGGCACCCACAAGAAGGGUGGCCGAUGCAGAGGAAUGGGGACCUAGAUGACCUAGGGGGACCGGAGAUAUCCCAGGGAGUGGGGGAACAGCCAAAGGUAGAAGGAACACUAAAAAGGGAACAAGAGAGGUUAAAAGAGAUCAUAAAAGAGUUGCAAGAUGUAGUUAACAAAAUACCCAGAGAAGCAUGAGGUACAGAACAUAAGAUAAAGACCCCAGAAGGCUGUGAGGUCCGCAAACAAUGGAGGCACUUACCCCGACUUCAGUGGGAUGCUGUCAAGAAAGAGAUAGAAGAAAUGUAACAACUGGGGAUGAUCGAAGAGUCCUGGAGUCCUUGGAGAAGCCCACUGGUGAUAGUGACAAAACCCGACUGUGAGCUAAGACUGUAGAUUCUCGCAAGGUAAAUGAAGUGGCAGUCUUUUAUGCCUUCCCCAUGCUGUGGAUAGAGGACAUGCUGGAACAGAUUGGCACAACUAAAUAUAUAUCGACCAGAGAUCUCACCAAGGGGUACUGGCGAUACCCAUAGCAGCCAGUGAUCAGGAGAAAACAGCGUUUGGCACCCCACGUGGGCUAUUUCACUUCAAAAGAGUGCCUUUCAGACUCCACGAAGCCACAGCCUUGUUCCAACAGCUAAUGGACAAAAUUCUUGCACCCCAUCAAAAAUAUGCCUCGGUAUAUAGAUGAUAUUAUAGUCUUCUCAGAAGAAUGGGAGCAAUACUGCCAACACCUGUGGGCAGUCUUUGCUGAGCUACAUAGAAACAGGCUAACAGCUAACCCGAAGAAGUGUUCCCUAGAGAAAAGGGAAACCCAGUAUCUGGGGUUUAUAGUCAGUCAGGGCAAGAUACGAGUGGUGGCAGAUAAGGUAGAAGUGAUCUGAUUCAGCUGAUUUGGCUGUGACUGAAUUUCCGAAUCAGAUUCGGCUGAAUCAAUUCGGGACAGUGAACUGUAUCACCAAAUCGAAUCACUGAUCUCCAAAGUGAAUUGCACAUGCACACUUUGCACAGGCCUAAUGUAAGUAGAUAAGAAAAUAAAUAUUGCCUGUAUUUAAAUUUUCCCCAAAAUUACCAUUUCCUGCCCCCCCCAUGGGAAAAAAAAAAAUUUUUCCCCAUGGCCUCAACAUUUCUGGAAAUUUUACAUCUCUAGUUUUAAUGUUUGGGAAGAGGGGGCCAUGGCAUCACUGCACCUCCCCCCUCCCCCCCAUGCUUCCCAGAUCCACCCCUGACUGGAAUGAAACAAUAGAUGAUGUAGGCAAGUCUCAAGGUCAGCUUCCUUCAGCACUGAUAUGCCACUUCCAUGGGUGUCUCCAUGUGUGUGAUUAACAUGUUAAAAAAAAAACAAGAACCAAUUAAUUCAUUAAUCAUGCAUGUUAACAGUGAUUGAUAGACAGCCCUGAAAACAAAAAGCUGGGGGAAGGGGAUAUGUGGAAGGGCAGAGGGGGAAGAGGACGGUGGCAUGGCCAGACGCAGGAUGUCGCAAAGUGUGUGUGUGGGGGGGGGAAAAGAGGCAGAUUGACAUCCUGUCUCACACUACACUGUUUUUCUUCAGAGAAACAGAAACUAGAAGCUUUGGGUGCUUGUACACAUGAUGAUGUUGCCAUGUACACAUGACAAAAAUUCCUCUUUGUGUGGCUUAACAGCAUCACAUUUUCAUGUAGUCGAGUUUUGGGGGUUUUAAAUUAGUUAUCAUAGUUACAAACUAAACCAUAUCCUAAUGUAAUUUAGUUUGUUACUGUGGAAGUCCCUAUAGAUUGCUCCAUCUAGUGACUUCCACAGUCUAUCUUGACUCUCAUCUGCCAUGUCUUGUUUAAUUCUGAUGUUAUUAGUUGGGAGGUGUUACUGCCGUAGUAAGACACUGGCAAUAUAUCUAGGCUUUCAUUUAUACUACAUCACGAUCUCUCUGGUGUCUCUCUCGACUGACACCCAAGAUCUUAUGUUAUCAAUUGAGUCCAAGUCACAUAUGGGUUGAACAAAUCUCUUUAUUAUUUUUAUAUCCACAACUGUUUCAUGGGUAGAUAGAUUGUGGCUAUUUCAGACUGUUUUUUUAUCAUCCCUCUUUAAACAUUUCCCACAGAACCUUGUCUUAAGUAAUAUACAACCAUGUACGUAUAAAUACUGAUCUAUUUCUUAGUUAUUUAUAUAUAUGUCAUUUUUUUAAACUGACAGGAAAUUUUACGUUCAGGUUCUUUACUAUUUCUUUGUUGAGGUCUUCUUUCCCUAAACUCUUCAGGAUACUCUCUCCUCUUUUUUUUAUUUUGUUCUGGGUGUAUGGGAAUAACCCUAGCUCCGGCUCUCUCUCUUCUCCCACACCCCUAGGACAUCGUUAGUCCACGUUAAUGUCUAAUAGGCUACUCAACACCCCCCCCCCCCCCCGCAAAAAAAACCCAAACUCCACUUGCGAGAAACCUGAAGAGCAUCAAGGCUCUUCCCUUCUCGCUGUUUCGCCGUACACGCCCUUUUUGUUUUUCUCUUGGCGUUCCGCGACUCCAGUUACUUCUCCGGAGGCUCCCUGCUUACCUUCCCAUACAUGCCCUCUCUAGCGUACCGAGUCAACUCCUCCGAUUCCACAGCCAAGCACUCCUCUCCAAGCUCUCCUCCGCGAAGCCUCUCCUCCACUCUCCCUUCCCACACGCUGUACCCUUCUGCCCCAUGCUUUCCAAUCUGCAAGAAACAGCUGCUCUGAAAGCGGUGUUCCCCCUGCUGGCUCUCCAUCCUGGUUUUUUGCAGCUCGUUUUUAUCCAGUCCCUCUUCACAGUUACCUUACAAAUUGCAGCAAUGUGGCCAUAAAUCUGUCAGGUGUACAUGGUAAUUUACUGAAUUCCAUGUACUGAGCCUGAUGAGUACCUCUGAACUUUUCACUAGUUUUUUCCUAGGAACAGCUUUGUAUGUUUUGAAAAAGUAUUUUAUCUAACCAAGGGCAUAGAGUAGGUUGUUUAGGCUGGGGGAGAUCACUUGUUGCUUAGUUGCUUAACUGCUGGCCUCACUAGAAGGAAAAGCUGUAUCAACAAGGUCCCGGGGAAGGUUGGAAGGGGGGUUACUUGGGGGUGGAGUUGGAAAAGCGGGGUUUGCUGGGCUUGCUACACAUUUCAUCACAUCAGCAAGUUUAACCUGUUACGUAGCUAUAUAAGGCUGAUGCCCACUGGGGUGGGUGUGCUUGCUUUGCGAAUGAUUGCCAAGCACCACUUUCUGCGCAGAAAUAAAGAUUAAGUUGGAUCCUUCACCCCUGUGUGUUUAUUGGCACAAGCGCACCGGGCACGAAUUCACUGUCCUUUGGGGACAACAGUUUCUGGCGACCCAGAUGGGACCUUAGCUGACUGCCUUGCCCGGUCCACCUCUUCGGCUCUGGCAACAACUGUGGACGGCACAAGGGCCAGGCGCCACCGACCUUAUUCGUCGGAGGUCUGACCGUCUCCUGGUUGCCUGACAGAGUCGUGGAGGGGCACAACGGCGCAACGCUCGAAGGACCAACUUAAUCAGGUGGGGCAAGGGAGGUUUCAACAGACUGGUAUGUCCAGGAGCGACUUCCACUCCCCUUAGAUACACCAGUCCAUAAGUUCCAGAUCGGAGACGAGGUGUUGGUCCGGACGUGGAAAGACGAGCCGCUUCAUCCCAGGUGGAAGGGACCAUAUCCUGUGAUUCUUACCACUCACGCUGCAGUGAAAGUUCAGGGGGUAAAACCGUGGAUACACUACACCCGGGUGAAGGCCGCACCAGAAGUACCACCUGCAGGAGAAGUUGCUGAGAGUGUCGCACCGGAAGCCCACACAAACGGACACUGUUGGACAGCAGAGCCAGUAAAAGGACUUAAAUUUCUGUUUAAACGUCAACCAUGUGGACAGUAGCUCUUUGCAUAGGCGUAAUGUUUCUAGGGUCUAAGGGGUUGGUGCAUCAAAGGUUCAAUAAGAGUCAAAAUGUAUGGGUUCAUUUGGCAAAGGACAUAUUAAAUGUCACUCAUUUUUGUUUGACAAGUGGAAUAUCGGUUGAUGAUAUUUUCAUGUCAUGCCUUAUAGGGGUGCCCACUCCAUUGGAAGCACUCUGGAAUCAGACUUGGUUCACAUCUGGGGGAAUAGGAGGUCCAAUCAAUUACACUAACAACUCCAUUUGGGGAACGAUUACCACAGAAAAAAACGCUAGUACCUUUGAAAUAGAUUUGUUGACAGUCACCUCCCCUGAUAACACCAGCUGUGCCAAUUUUGUGAACUGUACCCAAGCUUGCAAAAGCCUAACCAAAGAAACGAAAAUUUUCAAUUGCUCAGACGUGACUAAUGUAUCUUGCAACUACGGUCAUGUUGUACUACCCUGGGGAUGGUUCCUCCUUUGUGGGAAGACUGCCUAUUCAUAUAUCCCAGCCAAUGCCACAAGAGGCCCUUGUGCUCUGGGCCAGUUGACUGUCUGGCUACCGGGUAUGCCUAUGACCUCUAGUAAGCGUCACCGGAGAGGUUUGAAAGAACUAAGAAUCCUGUGAUAGUGACGUAAACCUCCUAAGUAAGGCCGAGGUAGUGUCCUUAGCAGUUUCCACAGUAGGGGUGCCAGGCCUAGUGGUGGACGCUGAGAGACAGCUUAGUAAGGUGGCCUGUGCCCUGGCAAAGGGUCUAAAUACAACUUCACAGGCCCUCAAUAUUAAAAUGAAAGAACUAAGAGGAGCUACUCUGCAAAAUAGAGCCGCCAUAGAUUAUUUAUUGCUGAGGCAUAACCACGGAUGUGAAGAGUUUGAGGGAAUGUGUUGUUUUAAUUUGACAGAUAAUUCCGAGUUGAUAGAGUCAAAGGUGCAGAAGUUAAAAGAAGUUCUGUCUCACAUUAAGCAAGGGGAAGGGUUCGACUUCUCAUGGCUUACUCCUUGGCUUCCUAAUUUUUCAUGGCUUAAGCAAAUUUUUCCUAUUGUUGUGGCAAGUAUGUGUAUUUUCUUGAUGAUUUGCUGUGGGGUACAGUGUGUGCCAAUGUGUUGUGAGGUACUCAAGAAAUCAAUUUCUUCCCCCGCUCACCGCGUGAUGUUUGUAAAAUCAUCAGUUACAAACCCGAUCCAAAACAAUCGGGAGGGAGUGAAGAGAUUUCUGGAGAUGAGAAAGAUGGUCGAGGACUAUGAUCCUAUUUCCUAGGGUCAUAGCCUCGAAGGGGGGAUUUGAUGAGUACCUCUGAACUUUUCACUAGUUUUUUCCUAGGAACAGCUUUGUAUGUUUUGAAAAAGUAUUUUAUCUAACCAAGGGCAUAGAGUAGGUUGUUUAGGCUGGGGGAGAUCACUUGUUGCUUAGUUGCUUAACUGCUGGCCUCACUAGAAGGAAAAGCUGUAUCAACAAGGUCCCGGGGAAGGUUGGAAGGGGGGUUACUUGGGGGUGGAGUUGGAAAAGCGGGGUUUGCUGGGCUUGCUACACAUUUCAUCACAUCAGCAAGUUUAACCUGUUACGUAGCUAUAUAAGGCUGAUGCCCACUGGGGUGGGUGUGCUUGCUUUGCGAAUGAUUGCCAAGCACCACUUUCUGCGCAGAAAUAAAGAUUAAGUUGGAGCCUUCACCCCUGUGUGUUUAUUGGCACAAGCGCACCGGGCACGAAUUCACUGUCCUUUGGGGGCAACAAGCCCCUUCGUCCACCAGGUGUUGCUAAAAUUUUUGUGUAGUGAGUCCCCUUGUCCACCAGGUGUCAUUACAAUUUGCAGGUAUUUGCACGUAAUUUGCAGUGUAAUUUGCAGGUAUUUGUGUGUAAUGAAUGUUUUAGCACACCAGGUGUAGCUGCAGAGCCAGACAUGAAUCAAUCUUCUGCUGACCUCCUUUUCUUAUUUAAUUAAAUAAAGGGUUGGAAGAAA